This 429-nucleotide ribosomal RNA is filed under the name Chloroflexota bacterium. Its description in RNAcentral is "Chloroflexi bacterium partial 16S ribosomal RNA". It matches the Rfam family "Bacterial small subunit ribosomal RNA", at positions 355 to 776 of the family's 1533-position model. Lineage: Bacteria; Bacillati; Chloroflexota. The record is from RNAcentral.
UGGGGAAUAUUGCACAAUGGGCGCAAGCCUGAUGCAGCCAUGCCGCGUGUGUGAAGAAGGCCUUCGGGUUGUAAAGCACUUUCAGCGGGGAGGAAGGCGAUAAGGUUAAUAACCUCAUCGAUUGACGUUACCCGCAGAAGAAGCACCGGCUAACUCCGUGCCAGCAGCCGCGGUAAUACGGAGGGUGCAAGCGUUAAUCGGAAUUACUGGGCGUAAAGCGCACGCAGGCGGUCUGUCAAGUCGGAUGUGAAAUCCCCGGGCUCAACCUGGGAACUGCAUUCGAAACUGGCAGGCUAGAGUCUUGUAGAGGGGGGUAGAAUUCCAGGUGUAGAGGUGAAAUGCGUAGAGAUCUGGAGGAAUACCGGUGGCGAAGGCGGCCCCCUGGACGAAGACUGACGCUCAGGUGCGAAAGCGUGGGGAGCAAACAGG